CAGCCAAGUCGUGAGGCGGAGCUAAUCCCUUUAAAGCCAUUCUCAGUUCGGAUUGUAGGCUGAAACUCGCCUACAUGAAGCUGGAGUUACUAGUAAUCGCAGAUCAGAAUGCUGCGGUGAAUGCGUUCCCGGGUCUUGUACACACCGCCCGUCACACCACGGAAGUUGGGGGCGCCCGAAGCCACUUAGCUAACCCUUUUGGGAAGCGAGUGUCGAAGGUGAAAUCAAUAACUGGGGUGAAGUCGUAACAAGGUAUC
RNAcentral lists this ribosomal RNA (257 nucleotides) under uncultured bacterium. RNAcentral describes it as "partial 16S ribosomal RNA". It matches the Rfam family "Bacterial small subunit ribosomal RNA", at positions 1247 to 1500 of the family's 1533-position model. The record is from RNAcentral.